Molecule: ribosomal RNA, 493 nt
Filed under: uncultured bacterium
Lineage: Bacteria
Description: partial 16S ribosomal RNA
Rfam family: Bacterial small subunit ribosomal RNA
Source: RNAcentral
GAACGCUGGCGGCGUGCCUAAUACAUGCAAGUCGAGCGAACAGACGAGGAGCUUGCUCCUCUGACGUUAGCGGCGGACGGGUGAGUAACACGUGGAUAACCUACCUAUAAGACUGGGAUAACUUCGGGAAACCGGAGCUAAUACCGGAUAAUAUAUUGAACCGCAUGGUUCAAUAGUGAAAGACGGUUUUGCUGUCACUUAUAGAUGGAUCCGCGCCGCAUUAGCUAGCUGGUAAGGUAACGGCUUACCAAGGCAACGAUGCGUAGCCGACCUGAGAGGGUGAUCGGCCACACUGGAACUGAGACACGGUCCAGACUCCUACGGGAGGCAGCAGUAGGGAAUCUUCCGCAAUGGGCGAAAGCUUGACGGAGCAACGCCGCGUGAGUGAUGAAGGUCUUCGGAUCGUAAAACGCUGUUAUUAGGGAAGAACAAAUGUGUAAGUAACUAUGCACGUCUUGACGGUACCUAAUCAGAAAGCCACGGCUAACUACGU